RNAcentral lists this non-coding RNA (53 nucleotides) under unclassified sequences. RNAcentral's name for it is "S4-Clostridia ribosomal protein leader". It matches the Rfam family "S4-Clostridia ribosomal protein leader". The record is from RNAcentral.
GAAAGGCCGUGAUACAUACCGCACGGCUGGAUACCGGGCGUAUCCCAAUUAGG